This 465-nucleotide ribosomal RNA is filed under the name uncultured bacterium. RNAcentral describes it as "partial 16S ribosomal RNA". It matches the Rfam family "Bacterial small subunit ribosomal RNA", at positions 339 to 795 of the family's 1533-position model. The record is from RNAcentral.
CUACGGGACGCUGCAGUGGGGAAUAUUGGACAAUGGGGGAAACCCUGAUCCAGCAAUGCCGCGUGUGUGAAGAAGGCCUGCGGGUUGUAAAGCACUUUCGGUUGGGAGGACUGCUUCUAGCACUAAUAUUGUUGGAAGUUGACGUUACCUUCAGAAGAAGCACCGGCUAACUCCGUGCCAGCAGCCGCGGUAAUACGGAGGGUGCAAGCUGUAAUCGGAAUGACUGGGCGUAAAGCGCGCGUAGGCGGCUAGGUCAGUCGGGUGUGAAAGCCCCGGGCUUAACCUGGGAACUGCAUCCGAUACUGUCUAGCUUGAGUACAGGAGAGGAGAGUGGAAUUCCACAUGUAGCGGUGAAAUGCGUAGAUAUGUGGAGGAACACCAAUGGCGAAGGCAGCUCUCUGGCCUGAUACUGACGCUGAGGUGCGAAAGCGUGGGGAGCAAACAGGAUUAGAUACCCCCGUAGUC